This 385-nucleotide RNase P RNA is filed under the name Caldibacillus thermoamylovorans. RNAcentral's name for it is "Bacillus thermoamylovorans Bacterial RNase P class B". It matches the Rfam family "Bacterial RNase P class B". From Rfam's summary of the family: Ribonuclease P (RNase P) is a ubiquitous endoribonuclease, found in archaea, bacteria and eukarya as well as chloroplasts and mitochondria. Its best characterised activity is the generation of mature 5'-ends of tRNAs by cleaving the 5'-leader elements of precursor-tRNAs. Cellular RNase Ps are ribonucleoproteins. Lineage: Bacteria; Bacillati; Bacillota; Bacilli; Caryophanales; Bacillaceae. RNAcentral also lists the same sequence under 4 other names. The record is from Rfam by way of RNAcentral.
ACGUUCGGGUAAUCGCGGCAAUUAUGCUGAGGAAAGUCCAUGCUCGCACGGUGCUGAGAUGCCCGUAGUGUUCGUGCCUAGCGAAACAAUAAGCUAGGGCAGCCUGGUUUCGACUGGGCUGACGGCAGGGAACGAGCCUAAGUCUUCGGAUAUGGCUCUAUUACCUUGAAAGUGCCACAGUGACGUAGCCUUGGAAGAAAUGACAAGGGUGGAACGAGGUAAACCCCGCGAGCGAGAAACCCAAAUAAUGGUAGGGGAACUUUCUCUGAGGAAUUCAACUCAAGAGAGAGGCAAGAGACAAGCUCUUGCAGAUAGAUGAUUACCACCGGAGUACGAGAUUUUUCAAUCGUAAGCAGUACGAUGGUACAGAACAUGGCUUACAGAA